UGAGUAUUCUUCAAUGUUCCUAAAAGCCAACAAAUUUUUUAGGGCUACUUGGGACAGUGGCAUGUGGUCGUGAUGAUUUGAGAGGAAAAGCUGGGAAUCUGCAUAAAUACAGAAUGUGUGAAGGGCAUUUUGAGGACAAACACUUUCUCAAUCACCUUAAAAACAGACUGAAGCCCAAUGCUGUGCCAUCGAUUUUUCCCACAUUGGAAAGUUCCUAAAACUCACAUUGGGAUCACACAUACGCUGCAUUCACCACAGUAAUCGCUGAUGAAGAUACUUCUGGAUAUCAAAACCAUCUAGAUUCUGAACAUUAUGUGGUAGAUCCAGAAAAUUCUGUGACAUGCAAAAUCAUUAUUCAGCAGAAUAUUCUUUUGAACCCAGAUCAGCAUCGAGAACCACUACAGCUUUUAAGUACAGCAUUACCCCCAUUACGUGAAAGAAUGAUAUCUCCAGAUUCUUAAACACAAACAUCUCCUCAUUGCUCAGCUCACACCCCUCGAAGAGAGAAUCUUAGAAGUGUUACCAAAAACUUGAGGAACGAGAAUUACCGUUUGAAAAAUCUGGUUGAGGAGCUGGAGAACAUGUUAUUGACUGCUAAAAAAAGUUUUGGAAAACCUUUCUUUGCAAGGUUACAAAAACCUGACAAAUAAGUUUUGUCCUUCGAAGAAUUUGGCUGAUUUCAUCAAUAUCCAAGUUUUGCAAUCACAGAAAAAACCUAAGGGACGAAGAUAUUCAACCGAAUUCAAAACAGAAUGUUUUGGAAUGUACUUUACUGGACCUAAGUUAUAUAAAAAUAAAUUAGUUAAAACCCUCUGUUUACCCAGCUACAGAACACUAUUGAGGCAUGUUGAGAAUAUCAAAAUUAAACCAGGAUUGAAUAAUUCAGUUUUGAAGUUGCUACAGCUUAAGGUCAAAAAUUUGUCUGAACAAGAUAAAUUUUGUGUAUUGUGUUUUGAUGAAAUGACAAUGAAAUCUAAUUUAUUUUACGACUUAGGCAGUGAUGAGAUAACCGGUUUGGAAGAUUAUGGUAAUGGGUUAAAAUCAUUCCAUCCAGCUGAAAAUGUCACAACAUUCUUGGUGAAAGGGCUAUUCAGGAACUGGAAACAACCCUUAUCGGUUUAUUUUCAUCGCUCCACCUGCACUCCAGAAAAGUUGAAAGAAAUUCUUUUUGAAACUAUCUAGGCACUCUUUGAAUGUGGAUUGAAAGUUACUGUAGUGGUUAGUGACCUGGGAUCAAAUAACUGGAAGUUGUCAAAUAUUCUUGGUGUGACUGUAGAAAAACCAUUUUUUUAUGUGAAUGAUCAAAAAAUAUUCCAGAUGUUUGAUACCCCUCAUCUCAUAAAAUUACCUAUUACGUCACCAUUUUGUUUUUAAAAAUAAGAAGACUCCAUGGGAAUAUAUAAAAACUCUUUACCAACAUGACAAAAACUAUGCUUUGAGAGCUGUUCCCAAAUUGACAGAUUCCCAAAUUUUCCCGAAUGGAAUUGAGAAAAUGAAGGUUAAAUUAGCCACCCAGGUGUUGAGUGAAACUGUUUCUGCUAGUUUAAGCCUCUACACCGUGUUAGGAAUCACACGUUAAAAUGUAAGACCUCGUUAGUCCUCAGCUCGCACAAGUUUCUC
Long non-coding RNA from Leptinotarsa decemlineata (Colorado potato beetle), 1620 nucleotides. NCBI's taxonomy places the organism in Eukaryota, Metazoa, Arthropoda, Insecta, Coleoptera, Chrysomelidae. The record is from RefSeq and is a predicted model, not a curated record.